CUACGGAGGGUGCGAGCGUUAAUCGGAAUUACUGGGCGUAAAGCGUGCGCAGGCGGUUUGCUAAGUCAGAUGUGAAAGCCCCGGGCUUAACCUGGGAACUGCAUUUGAUACUGGCAGACUAGAGUAUGAUAGAGGGGGGUAGAAUUCCUGGUGUAGCGGUGAAAUGCGUAGAUAUCAGGAGGAAUACCAGUGGCGAAGGCGGCCCCCUGGAUCAAUACUGACGCUGAGGUACGAAAGCGUGCGGAGCGAACAGGAUUAGAAACCCUAGUAGUCC
Molecule: ribosomal RNA, 274 nt
Filed under: uncultured bacterium
Lineage: Bacteria
Description: partial 16S ribosomal RNA
Rfam family: Bacterial small subunit ribosomal RNA
Source: RNAcentral